Molecule: small nuclear RNA, 293 nt
Filed under: Meriones unguiculatus (Mongolian gerbil)
Lineage: Eukaryota; Metazoa; Chordata; Mammalia; Rodentia; Muridae
Description: 7SK RNA (ENSMUGG00000025371.1)
Rfam family: 7SK RNA
About the family: 7SK was discovered as an abundant small nuclear RNA in the mid-70s but a possible function has only recently been suggested. Two independent studies have found that 7SK RNA binds the CDK9/cyclin T complex (known as elongation factor P-TEFb).
Source: RNAcentral
GAAGCAAGUGUGAUCAGGCUUCAACAUCUGUCACUACCUUUGAUUUGGCUGAUCUGGGUGUGUAGGUAAGUGUUCCCUUUCCUCUUCAUUGCUUCAUGUUUGUCCCCUACUGAAACUUUUCAACAUUUGGUCAAAAAGGAUGACCUUCCCCAAUAGAGGGGACAAGUCUUUGUCCAAGGGUAUGGAAUAGCUGCGAUCUCCUGCUAGAACUUCCAAGUAAGUUCUCAAAACCAGAUAACGAAUCUAUAUCCUAGUAAAGAAUUUAGACCCACAUUUAAGAACAGCAUUCAUGU